CAACCUCGUCCGUUUGGUGGUGGGGAGUACGCCGGCACGCCCGGGUAAUACCGCAUACGGUUGCCGAGGGGAGUCCCUUGGCAAAGAAACCUCCGGGGCACAGAGAGGGGCUCGCGGCCUAUCAGCUAGUUGGUGAGGUAACGGCUCACCAAGGCGUCGACGGGUAGCUGGUCUGAGAGGAUGGCCAGCCACAUUGGGACUGAGAUACGGCCCAG
RNAcentral lists this ribosomal RNA (215 nucleotides) under uncultured bacterium. RNAcentral's name for it is "partial 16S ribosomal RNA". It matches the Rfam family "Bacterial small subunit ribosomal RNA", at positions 122 to 334 of the family's 1533-position model. The record is from RNAcentral.